GGGGGUGUAGCUCAGCUGGGAGAGCACCUGCCUUGCAAGCAGGGGGUCAGGAGUUCAAAUCUCCUCAUCUCCACCA
RNAcentral lists this transfer RNA (76 nucleotides) under Dialister invisus. Its description in RNAcentral is "tRNA-Ala". It matches the Rfam family "tRNA". Rfam says of the family: Transfer RNA (tRNA) molecules are approximately 80 nucleotides in length. Their secondary structure includes four short double-helical elements and three loops (D, anti-codon, and T loops). The record is from RNAcentral. RNAcentral also lists the same sequence under 1 other name. Lineage: Bacteria; Bacillati; Bacillota; Negativicutes; Veillonellales; Veillonellaceae.